CCUACGGGGUGCUGCAGUGGGGAAUAUUGGACAAUGGGCGAAAGCCUGAUCCAGCCAUGCCGCGUGUGUGAAGAAGGCCUUCGGGUUGUAAAGCACUUUCAGUGGGGAAGAAAGCCUUGGGGCUAAUACCCUCGAGGAAGGACAUCACCCACAGAAGAAGCACCGGCUAACUCCGUGCCAGCAGCCGCGGUAAUACGGAGGGUGCGAGCGUUAAUCGGAAUUACUGGGCGUAAAGCGCGAGUAGGCGGUCUGAUAAGCCGGUUGUGAAAGCCCCGGGCUCAACCUGGGAACGGCAUCCGGAACUGUCAGGCUAGAGUGCAGGAGAGGAAGGUAGAAUUCCCGGUGUAGCGGUGAAAUGCGUAGAGAUCGGGAGGAAUACCAGUGGCGAAGGCGGCCUUCUGGACUGACACUGACGCUGAGGUGCGAAAGCGUGGGUAGCAAACAGGAUUAGAUACCCGAGUAGUC
RNAcentral lists this ribosomal RNA (465 nucleotides) under Vreelandella stevensii. Its description in RNAcentral is "partial 16S ribosomal RNA". It matches the Rfam family "Bacterial small subunit ribosomal RNA", at positions 338 to 795 of the family's 1533-position model. Lineage: Bacteria; Pseudomonadati; Pseudomonadota; Gammaproteobacteria; Oceanospirillales; Halomonadaceae. The record is from RNAcentral.